Molecule: long non-coding RNA, 2060 nt
Filed under: Homo sapiens (human)
Lineage: Eukaryota; Metazoa; Chordata; Mammalia; Primates; Hominidae
Description: HSALNT0385076
Source: RNAcentral
GUGAGAGUCAGAGGAAAUCAGCAUAAGAUCCAUCAAAUGGCCAAGGUGGGUGGCUCACACCUGUAAUCCCAGCACUUUGGGAGGCCGAGGUGGGCAGGUCACUUGAGGCCAAGAGUACGAGACCAGCCUGGCUAACAUGGUGAAAACCCAUUUCUACUAGAAAUACAGAAAUUAGAUGGUCAUGGUGAAGCACGCCUGUAAUCCCAGCUACUCAGGAGGCUGAGGCAGAAGAAUCACUUGAAUCCGGGAGGCAGAGGUUGUAGUGAGCCGAUAUCGUACCACUGCACUCCAGCCUGGGUGACAGAGUGAGACUCCACCUCAAAAAAGAAUAAAAUAAAGACCCAUCAAACAAAAAAUAAGCAAACUGAGAAGGAAAGGUUUAAUAACAUGCCCAAGGUCACACAGAUAAGAAGAUGCAUGCACAGCCAAGAUUCCAGUGUUCUGGUCCUCGGAGCCCACACAGUCAUCACCAGGAGGCUACACUGCCUCUUCCUCACUGAAACAUGCAAGGUUUCCCGUGAGUGCCAUGUUACUGGAAGAGACUUUGACAGCUAACUCUCUGGAAUGUUGAGGUUGCAACUGGGUAUCGUGGACUUACUUCUGUGAUAUCUUCAAUGACCAGGGGCUUUGCGGAAGUUCAAUGGGAUUCUGGUUUUGUGAAGCAGUGGAUAUGCUGGGUUUGUAUAACAACAUGUGGAGCAUCAUGGGAAGAUGUCAUUCAAAUGCAAACAGUCCUUUCUACUGCCAUUGCCACGACGGUAGUCCAGUGCCUCAUGACCCCAAUCCUAGAACGAUGCAGUAGGCUCUCAGCUCUCUCAGCUCAGUGCUUUUCAAAUCCUGGAUGCAGAUGACGAUCAUCCAACUACAGAUUCUCAGGCCACCCCAGGCAUACCAAGUCAGAAUCCUUGGGGGCUAAAAAAAUAAGGAAAGAAAGAAAAAAAGGAAGAAAAAGAAACAGGCAGAAAUAGGUCCUUGUCUUGGAAGGAACACUGAGCACUGGGUAAAGAGUCUCACCCAGGUCUCAUCUCUACCUUUCUGUAAAAAGAAAAAGCCUUCAACAGAUGCUGUUUCUUUAGUCACUUCAACCACAGGAAGAUGUCAAAUUCAGAAUGGCAUUUUUCACUUAUAAGAAAAAGAUCUGAAAACCCAAACUUGGAAUCUCAAAGAAAGCUUAAGUGGAAAGGACAUCUUUCAAUAACCAACAUCAUCAUCUUUCCCAUGUACUACCAUCCCAACAGACAGAGACAUCCAGGGAGUCCUGCUCUGUGAAGCACUUUUCAGGAAACAAUCAGCUUAAGACAUCACCCAUCCAAUUCACUUUGACUCUGAUGAACAGUGUCAUCGCUCCUCAGAAAAAUGAAACAGGAGUGGCAUAUAGUCAUGAUGACAGCCAGCUAACCAUUGGGAUCACAUGAAUAAGAGUGCAUCUUACAGAUUCGAGGAAAUCUGAGAACAUUUACAGAGCAUCCAGUGAGUGCCAAGAAUUUUAUAUGUGCCAUAUAGCACGUAAUCUUCACAGUCACACUCUCAAAAUCCAUAUUAUAAACUCCACCUCACAGAUGUUAAUAAGUGACUUCAUAUGGCAAGGUUUGUUUUCUCGCUUCAAAUGAACCACAUCCAGUAGGUAAAGGCCAAAGCCACACUGCAGAGACAUGAUGACAAAGGGUGGUCAUAGCCUCAAAAACAUGUUCUUCCAACGUCGUUAUGAAUGCCAUUCCAAUUAACUUCCCCACUAUUCCCUGGAAAAAUAUCCUUUGACCUCUGCUCAGACAACGUGGGAAGCCCUGUUUUGAAGCAAAUCUGUGGUAUGAGGAGAUGAAAACCUAGCCUAGGACAGAUGCACUGACAGAGUGGGAUUCUUGAGAAGUAUUGCAAAGUUAGGUAGAACUUGGUGAUCAAGUAAAUUACAACUGUUACAAGAUAAUAAACAAAGAAUUUGAUCCCCCAGACCCUCUCUGCAUAUCUUUUUUCUUCUGUCUUCUGGUAAUUAGUGCCUCAAUUUUCCUUUAGGGGACAGCUCUUCCUCCUCCAGUUCUGCAUUGUCUGAGGCAGGCUGAUGC